GGUGGGACAUUGCUCAGGCUACACAGCUCCAGCAGCUGUGUGAAAUCUUCUGACUGCAGGACCAUAGUGAGGUCACCUGGUCGCGUCAGAGCGGGAAAUGGUGGCACCAGGAGAGUGGGAAGAACUCUAAACACCACAGAAGCUGAAAUGGAGCCCCUGACCUUUGAGGAUGUUGCUGUGAGCUUCACACUGGAAGAAUGGGGCUGUUUGGAUCCUUCCCAAAAGAAGCUCUACAUGGAAGUGAUGCUGGAAACCUACAGCAACCUGUCCUACAUAGAAGACAAUGAAAACAUUGAAGAGGACUUCAGGAAUCCCAGAAGAAAUAUGAG
Molecule: non-coding RNA, 329 nt
Organism: Castor canadensis (American beaver)
Lineage: Eukaryota; Metazoa; Chordata; Mammalia; Rodentia; Castoridae
Source: RefSeq, a predicted model, not a curated record